Molecule: ribosomal RNA, 465 nt
Filed under: uncultured bacterium
Lineage: Bacteria
Description: bacterial SSU rRNA
Rfam family: Bacterial small subunit ribosomal RNA
Source: RNAcentral
CCUACGGGAUGCAGCAGUGGGGAAUAUUGCACAAUGGGCGCAAGCCUGAUGCAGCCAUGCCGCGUGUAUGAAGAAGGCCUUCGGGUUGUAAAGUACUUUCAGCGAGGAGGAAGGCGGUGAGGUUAAUAACCUCAUCGAUUGACGUUACUCGCAGAAGAAGCACCGGCUAACUCCGUGCCAGUAGCCGCGGUAAUACGGAGGGUGCAAGCGUUAAUCGGAAUUACUGGGCGUAAAGCGCACGCAGGCGGUCUGUUAAGUCAGAUGUGAUAUCCCCGGGCUCAACCUGGGAACUGCAUUUGAAACUGGCAGGCUUGAGUCUUGUAGAGGGGGUUAGAAUUCCAGGUGUAGCGGUGAAAUGCGUAGAGAUCUGGAGGAAUACCGGUGGCGAAGGCGGCCCCCUGGACAAAGACUGAUGCUCAGGUGCGAAAGCGUGGGGAGCAAACAGGAUUAGAUACCCGGGUAGUC